RNAcentral lists this transfer RNA (73 nucleotides) under Bacteroidota bacterium. RNAcentral describes it as "Bacteroidetes bacterium tRNA-Gln". It matches the Rfam family "tRNA". From Rfam's summary of the family: Transfer RNA (tRNA) molecules are approximately 80 nucleotides in length. Their secondary structure includes four short double-helical elements and three loops (D, anti-codon, and T loops). Lineage: Bacteria; Pseudomonadati; Bacteroidota. The record is from RNAcentral.
UGCCCGAUGGUGUAACAGGCAACACAUCCCGGUUUGACCGGGGAGAUUCUUGGUUCGAACCCUUGGCGGGCAA